This 263-nucleotide unclassified non-coding RNA is filed under the name plant metagenome. RNAcentral describes it as "partial contains small subunit ribosomal RNA, internal transcribed spacer 1, and 5.8S ribosomal RNA". The record is from RNAcentral.
UUUCCGUAGGUGAACCUGCGGAAGGAUCAUUAUUGUAUAACCGAGGUGCGAGGGCUGUCGCUGACCCGAAAGGUCGUGCACGCCCGAGUGCCCUCACACACAUCCAUCUCACCCCUAUGUGCACCACCGCGUGGGACCCCCUUUGGCUUGUUCGGAGGGGGGCUUACGUUUUCACACAAACUUUGUAUGUAGUGUAGAAUGUAUUUUUUGUUUUUGCGAUCACGCAAUCAAUACAACUUUCAACAACGGAUCUCUUGGCUCUC